RNAcentral lists this long non-coding RNA (336 nucleotides) under Zea mays. RNAcentral describes it as "long non-coding RNA NONZMAT000089". Lineage: Eukaryota; Viridiplantae; Streptophyta; Magnoliopsida; Poales; Poaceae. The record is from RNAcentral.
CCUCAACGCGAAGCUCGGACGGCGAGGACAAAAUGUGAACGGCGAUAAAGAACUCCAUCGCGAUGGACGACGGCGACUUGGCAAGGCGACAUCGCGGCGAGCUUAGCGCUGGUUCCCUGCUCGACGGAGAUUAGACACGGCUACAAGGCCGAGGCACCACGUGACGGCAAGAGCGUGUUGCUGCGAGGCGAGAGGAGGAACGGCUGCGGUACAAAGAAGUGGGGGUAGACAAGUGCGUUUGAAUAGGGGUGGCCGGUGGAAGUUGUUGCCGAUCCUCAUGCGUCGUGGGCGACUUAGGCAGGGGAGACGAUUCAGAGAAGAUAAACAGGAGAGGGG